Molecule: RNA transcript, 2031 nt
Organism: Mus musculus (house mouse)
Lineage: Eukaryota; Metazoa; Chordata; Mammalia; Rodentia; Muridae
Gene: Nrg4
Gene name: neuregulin 4
Exons: 9
Source: RefSeq, marked validated
CGAGUCACAGUUGCUGAAGUCCUCAGUGUUCAAACACUUGUGAAACGCUGCAUGUCUAGCAAAAUUUUCUUUUUUUAUGGGAAUAUAAAUUUCUGUUGAGGUGCUGAUUUUCAACCUUAAUUCUUCCAUCAAGAAUGAAACUAUUUAAAAAUUAAGAUGCCAACAGGAAGUGAACUGUUGCUGGCUUCUCUUUGUCUUAUUCCAAGUUGGGUCAUGAGAUUUUCCCUGCACCCUGGGAAGGUGCAUUGAAAAUUACACCGGAGCACGCUGCGAAGAGGUUUUUCUCCCAAGCUCCAGCAUCCCAAGCGAAAGUAAUCUGUCGGCAGCUUUCGUGGUGCUGGCGGUCCUCCUCACUCUUACCAUCGCGGCGCUCUGCUUCCUGUGCAGGAAGGGCCACCUUCAGAGGGCCAGUUCAGUCCAGUGUGAGAUCAGCCUGGUAGAGACAAACAAUACCAGAACCCGUCACAGCCACAGAGAACACUGAAGACAUACAUCCCCAGUGAAGGGCAUCAUUACCUACAAAGGCGGACUGUGGACCAUACGACGAGAGAAGUCCCAGGAUCUCACUCUUCUUGAUGCUCUACUGUUUGAUUGUUCAUCGUUCACAUACAGAAAUGACGCUGGUUUCCUGUGUUGACCUUGCACCCUGCUACUAGUCCCUACCAGGAAGCCCCACCUUCCACUUCCUGUCCAGCCACUGGCUGCCAGCCUUUAUUCUACAAAAAGCUACAUUCCGGUCAGCAGCAGGACAACGCCUGAUCCACCCCUUUGGCUCAGAAGAGGGCCACAAAAUCUCCUUUAAGGAGGUUUUUAACAUGAUAAUCUCAGAGACUCUUUUGGGCAGGUCAUCACUGGCCUGGAAGUCAGCAGUAUAGAUAAGGCUGGCCCUGAAUUCAAGAGACUCACCUGUUUUUGCCUACUCAGAGUUACUGGAAUUAAAGGCAUAACAACACUAUACUCUGCUUGAUUCCUCUAAUUUCUUUUUUAAAAACCUAAAAGUAUUGAGGACCUGAAAUCAAAUAUUUCUAUUUACCCACGGGGGAAGAGCAAAGUACUCAGGCUUACUUCUCACAAGUAAGUGAAGACAAAUUGUCCACCUGGCCUCCAGCCAAGAUGAUAUUCAUAUCGCUGAAAGUGCUGACUACCCGAUGCAGGUAAUUACUGGCUCCCACCUUACAGCAGUUAUAGCCAAAGACAAGGACCACACGAAGUUCAGGGUUGUCCAGAAGACCUGCAGAGAAGUGAGGGACAGAGACAGCCUUAAACAGCAUGAACUGUUGCUCCUGUUGACUGGCACUCCCAGUGUGUUCUGCAGUGCUGAAGUGCUCAGUUCUCCGAUUCUUAGAGCCUGAGAUUACUCACUCAAGCCUUAGUUAUGAUUUUUCCAUUAAUAAAACCUAUGGCUAUUUGAAUGUAAUAUGCCUCACAUAAGCAAGGGCAUUUUGCAGAGUGCUAUACACAGACAUGUUGAAGUGAAUAACUGCAGUGCCAGCUCCACAUCUUCAUUCCUCGCACACCAGUGACCUCGAGCUUAUCUUCUCAGAUGUGGUCUUAAAGCAGCUUGCAUCACUGGCAGGCAGCAGAGCUCCGAGAGCCAGUGGCCAUCUCUCCCCAGAGCUUCCACUGAACCUCUGGUACUUUCUUUUCAUUCAUUGAGACCAGUCAGUGUUGAACAGGAUAAUCCCACUUAACUCAGCCACACGACUUCCAAAGCAGCCAGGCCACUCACUAAGCCAGAGUGAAGCAGGCCACAGGGGAAGGAGGCGGCGCCCUGCAGACCAAGAGUCCAGCACAUCAACACCGAACUCCACACACGCCAGAGACCUCCAGUUUUAAUUACCCAAUGUUACCUCGCCCUGCACCCCAGCAGCCAUCCAGAGUCCAGCUAAACUCUAAUGGCAGAGCACCUGUAGAGACGACAUGUGGCCCUCCUCUGCAGAGCCCACUUUCUGAGUGUCUCUCAACCCUGUGCGGAAACUGGUAUUGAAAACCUCCUUUUAAUAAACUCCGACUCUACUUUGCACUAGCUCA